This is a long non-coding RNA of Ailuropoda melanoleuca (giant panda), 7268 nucleotides long. RefSeq lists it as uncharacterized. Lineage: Eukaryota; Metazoa; Chordata; Mammalia; Carnivora; Ursidae. The record is from RefSeq and is a predicted model, not a curated record. The transcript is spliced from 3 exons.
CCCAAAUUACUGCAUUUAUUUCUAGGACCGCUAGAGGGGGCCCUUGACACAUGCCAAACCCUCCUUGGCUUUUCUCAGUCCAGUUUUCAAACACAUUUCCUCUCUGAUUCCUCAUUAGUCGAGUUCCAGGAGCGAUGAGAAGGUCGAGGUGUGAUAUUCUUGAGAUUUCUCUGUUACAGGAGUUUAUGAGCUAAGUGAUAACUGCUUGCAGCUCAGUCAUAAAUUGAAUGUUUUAGCCAAGGUACCCAGUGCUUGCAACAGGUGCGUUGCUAUUUAGAAAGCUGUGCCGCAGCCCUUUAACGGGACCUUGUUAACAAAACGGCAACCCGCUUUUCAGUUGUCCUACUUGUUUCUCAGAGCAGUACUGUUUUCUGCCUGUGCCUUCUGAAUCUCAUAUACGCCCAAAGGGAUUGCCUUAGUGUUCCUUAUAUAUUAUUUCUGACGCUAACCUGGUAUUCCUUAAUUGAAACAUCUUCACCUAUUAUGUUGCUUUUCAUUUGACCAUUUCAAAGUCAUCUCUCCAGCAAAACUGAGUCCUAAUUAAGGUCUGUUAAUUUGCUCACAGAAUGACAGGAUUACUUGCUGAUUUGUUUUCUUAUUAGAAACGUUAGAACCCCUGUAGCUUUGGAGAAAAUCUAUCUUUAGGAUUGUUCCAGAAGUCCAGUUUCUAUACUACUUAACGAACCGUGUUCAUCCCCUUGUUGAGCAGGUAUGUAGGAGCACGUGUGCAUACAGCCCUGCCUUCUGUUCCUCAGCUGGGGCUGCACGCUGGCCUGAGUCUUGUCCUGCGUGAUGCUAACUAUGACACCGCUGUGAAUGCUGGCACUGAGCACGGAUGGCCUCAUGAUGGACAGGAGUUUGAGGUACAAGUAGUUAAAUACGCAACAUGGUAUUUCGGUUCUGAGAAAGAGAGUGUCUGUCUUUCAUCUCACGUGUACAAUAAAAGCUUGGAGGAACCUCCUAGAAAGUGAAACUACUGAAGUGGUUGCCAGAGGGAUCUUUCUUGUGACCCUUUGUUUUCUUUUUCCUGUGGACAUGCUCCUGGGGUGUCUAACCUCUACCUUUAGCUGACUACAAGAAAGAGACGUUUGAUUUCAGGUAGUUACCUUGAUCCCUUGGGGCAGAGGCAUGAGGAUUAGCCUUUCAGAGACUGUGCCUUUGCUGUGUAUUCAUUUAUACAGGCUAACCUCGUGUAUGUGACUUAAUAGUUAUUAAUUACCUACUAAGUACCAGACAGGCCCUUUGAUCAUCUCACUUAAGGACGGAGGUGGGCGGUGAUAACCCCAACCUCCAGAAGAGGAAAUUGAGCUUCCAUGAGGAUGAAGUAACUUGCUUAAAAAUUCCAGUUAGAAAGGGUGGAGCUGAGAAUAGAAUCUUGGUCUCUCUGGGGUCCACCAGACCUCCCGGGCUUCUUUUUUAAAACUCAGAAUGUCUGACUGGCUCAGUCAGUAGAGCAUGUGACUCUUGAUCUCAGGGUCGUGAGUUCAAACCCCGCCCCUAUGUUGGGCGUGGAGCCUACUUCAAAACAACUCAGAACGAAGUUGGUGUCCAUACUGGCGGCUCCACCAGCCAUACUCCAGAGUGAGAGGCACCUCUGAACCAGUCGGCUUCAGAGCUGUCUACAAACCCCGGGAGUAUUUGUGGAGCUUUGUUCUUUCCUGCAGCCUCCCCCCUUCCAUCCCACUCUACCCCUCCAUCCCCCAGAUGCCAGGCUGCAAAAGCAGAAGGCUUUGUUCUAACAAGAUCCUGGGCUAUGCAGGCUCUUUCAGAUGGUACCCAAGAAGGGGUUGCAAAUCCAAAACCAGGAGCCCCCUUCUUCCUGUCACUCUGCGUGACUCACAUGUGCCUUUGCAGAGUGGAGUGCUGGUUGAGGGCUUUUGAUUCUGGAAUUCUCUAACAUUAAUCUUCAGCUCCUCUCACCUUCCCCAACCCUAUCCUCUGCUCCCAGUUUUAAAAAAGCCUGAGCACCUGCCACUACCCCACACCCCUUCCCUGACUGUGCUGCUUAGAGCUCAGCCUUCCUGGAAGGGAGCCUGGGUUCAGUUAAGUUCUCAUUCAUCUUCCAGUUCAGAAGAGCAAGCCUGUGUUACUGACCCCCCACCCAGUGCCACACAGUCCCUAUUCUCUUUUGGUCCUCAAAUCCAUUUAAUUAUUCCCCACUGGGGAUGCCUGGGUGGCUCAUUUGGUUAAGCAUCUGUCUCUGGCUCAGGUCAUGGUCUCUGGGUCCUGGGAUCGAGCCCCCCAUUGGGCUUCCUGCUCAGUGGGGAGUCUGCUUCUCCCUCUCCCUCUGCUCCUCCCCCUGCUUGUGUUCUCCCUGUCUCUCUCUGUCUCUCAAAUGAAUAGAUAAAAUCUUUAAGAAAAACUAUUCCUCACUUUGUAGUUUGUAGAUGUAGGUAGGUUUUUAAGCAGAAACUUGAGACAUUUGAGGUAGAGAAGGGUAUGGAAGUUGAUAGAACUAAGAAUAGUUCCAGGUCACCAAGCUGUCAAACACAGUAGUACAGAGGAGGAGUGGGUGACAACUUUAUUCCAUGAGGCCGAAGGCUCUGGGGUCUUAGGAGGUCACAUCCCCUUUUUGGGACCUCUACAGUCUAUUCUUGCUCCAACAGACUGAAUCUAAAGCAGGGGCAAGGACAGCUCUCAUCACCUGAAUCAAACCCGUCCUCUAGCCCCAUACUUUUUUUCUCCCCACUGUGACUUAAAAAACAAAAACCUUCGUCUUCUUUUAUUUACCUUUAAGUGAAAUCUCUUUAAGACUCUUCACCCUGUAAGUACCAUGAGGCCUGAGACCCUGUCUGUCUGUUUUUUGUUUUGGUCAUUCUUAUCCAGUGUUUGUUGAAUGAAUGAUUGAUAACGUAGCUGGCACUUACUGAGCGCUUACUAUAUGCCGGGCUCUAUGCCGAGUGAUUUAUAUUCAUUAUGGCAGAUGUGCAUUAUAACCUUGGGAAACUGCUGUCCCUGUUUUCCAAAGAAAGUGACUGAGCCUCAGAGAGGCCAUUUGCCCACCCACGACCAUGCAGCUCUCGGUGGUGGCAGCAGGGCCCCAGCAGGCAUGUCCUCCUCUCAGGUCCACAGCGUCACAGUACCUCCCUGUCAGUAAGCCUUCCACCUGCCAGUGGGCCGUUUCCUGUCACACACCACACUGCCCCUCAGUGACUUCUCCCACAGACUCUAUUUCUAUCUUCACCAUCGUUCUCUCUGAUGAGGUUCUCCCCAUAGAGAAGGCGUGGGUGUUCGAGAGAAGCUGUGCCCUGUGGGGUGUACUCUGCCCCACCCUAGGGGUAAACCUGGUGGCUAGGGAAGAAUCUAGAAUAAUUUCGCUGAAACUUCGUCUAGACAGGUUUGCAGGACCCCAUAUACCAGCUUAUUAGCAUACUGGAGCGGUUCUGGUCUGAACUGUUAGCUCGUCAUCAGCUGCACUUGUGAUGGUUGUUGAAGAUGCUGUUUCUACAGCCUUUGCCCUCGGAGAUCCUGAAUCAGCAGGUCUGCAGCAGGGAGCUCAACUGGCCUCAAAGGUCAGACCUGUUGAAACCUUUGACCUGAACCUGAGGUCUGAAUCUGGGAGAUGUCCUUCCUGAGGCAUCUAUACAACGGAAAGCACCACAUUUUUUUUUUUGUUUUAUUUUUAUCCAAAACAGGAAAUGAAACUUACAUCUGUACUAAGGUAAACCGUGUGCAGCCCUCUGGUUGUGGGAGCUGGGGGUCCCUGAAACUGGCAGAACUUUACACAGAAAGGCCUCCAAGCUAGAGGGCUGGGACAGCAGAGCCAAUAAACCAGUGUCGUCUCCACCCUGACCCCCCAUGGUGUAUGCCACCUCCCCCGUUUUACUUGGGGGCCUUAAGUGAAUUCCUGUCUUGAGGGGAGAGUCGGUUUAAACUCACCAGCUUGACUCAUAAGCCUCCUUAAUAGAAGGGACCUGGAAGUUCCAGCUGAGGGCCGUGUCUGCUGGCAGUUUGAGGGUGGGAUUUGGGGGAUCAUCGCAGGCCUGGUGUUACAGUACAUGAGCUGGAGGACCUCACAGUUCCCCGCCAUCCUGAUACCUCCCGUGUACACCAGAGGUUCUGAGGGAACUCUGUUGGAAGCUGAGAGCCAGGACCCAGGAUGAGUGGGACCAGCUCAGUGGUCGUCUCUUGCUCAGCCAGUGUGAGUCUGGCCACCAAGAAACCCCCCCAUGACUCGUGUCCAGGAGCCAGAAUCCAGCCCUGAAAUUGCCUGACCUCUGAAUCCACACCAGGACCUCAUUCUGACUCAGCUUCCUGUCCAGAGGGCUGCCCAUCUCCUGCUGCCCUCAUUCCUGGACCCAUCAUACAUACUUGUUCCACCUCCUCCAAAACCCUCUUUUAUCACUAAGCCCUCCAGAAACUUCAGCCUCAAUCACAACACCUGAAAUACCUUUUACCUACUGACGAUUUCCUCUGAGAUCUCUCAUCCUUGAAACCCUUUUGAUGGAGACCACAUCUUCUCCCCUACCUCUUCUCCCAGGUGGAGGAGGAGGGGCCACUGAACCCCUGGCCUCAGCCCUGUCACUCAGCAAUCACUCCUCGUACUCAGGACGCAUGUGCCCUCUGCCUUCAGCUCAGCCUUCCUCUCCAUCCUGCCCCUGUUGUCAUCCAUGGGGGCUUUGACCUCUUCCCAGUGUCCACCCUCAGGAGUCCUCCCACCCCAACUCUGGCCUUGUUCCAACACAUGAGAUCUGUGUUGAAAAGCUGGAAGCAAGAUUCUCAUAUGCAGUAAAGAAACAUGUAUGAGAAAUUUAUUUGUCUCAUUGGUGAGGGAACCAGUCUUCUAUAUGUCAAUCAAACGGUAACAUUUGGGGUAUCUUUCUAGCCCGUGGAGUCAUUUCCAACUUCCCAAUCGAUUUCUUUGUAAACUAACAUCCAAGUUUACAAAGUCUGGGCCCUAAUCAGUAGAAAAUAGUGGGUGACCGUCCCUUAGAGAGUCCGAUGACCCUGAGGGCUCGUGGGACAGCGCUCUAGUGUGGCACAGCAGCCAGUGCAUUUGUUGCCUUAUUUCUAAGUAGCAGAUGCAUUUUCUAAAUGUGAAGCUUCUCUGAAUACCUACUCCCGUCCUCAGAAGCAUGACCUUGAGGAACGUAGCUCCUGGACUCUCAGGAUUACCAAAGAGGAGUAACACAAAGUCACUGUGGUCAAGCCCAGUUGCGUCCGUGUUGGGGAGGUGGGAAGGGAGGGGAGUGGGAGUCAGGACUUGCACCAGAGAGAACGAAUGGAUAGAUUUGGGGGAUGACAGGAUUUACUCAACAAGCAUUUGGUAAGGACCUGGCAUAUAGAAACCUAUAAGCUAGGCGCUAUGAAGAAACAUUUUACAGAUGAGGAAACUGAAGCUUAGGUUAGAAAUAAGCCCCAAGUCACCAGGUUAGUAGCUGGUGAAGCUCAGAGCUAAUCCAUGCCUGGGUCUCCUCAGCCAUAAGUGUGUGGGCGGUAGCGGUGACUUCCUCUGUGCGUGUUGCGUUCUGGGUGGGAGGUAGGAGGUGACUUCCUUUAGCAGCAGGUGCAGGGCCAGGCCUGGUGCGGCCUUACAUGUCUAAACAAAGCCAACUGCAGGAUUCCACACGGCCCCGCUGCAGGGCCCUCAUUCCUGUCCCUCUUCAGCACCAGCCGCCUAAGACCUCUGGGAAUGAGCUCAGAGGGCGGGGGCCACAGGGAUGACUGCAGCUGGCACUGCCUUUGACAGAUUCGUCCUCCGACUUCAGCAUUGUUCCCAGGCAGGAUGGGUCUCUGCCAUCGUGCGCACGUCGUGACAGGAGGAGGAGGAGGCAGCCGGGGCUCUGGGGGUCUCCCUUGUGGCCAGUCACCCUACACAAGGACACCAGAGGGGGAUGUGAAGGGAAGAGAGAAAGAACUGGAAAAGGACUCUGACACAUCAGCCACCUCACUCACCAUUGCCCAGGAAUCCGUGCACACUCUUAUCUUGGGCUGCUUCUGUAUCGACACAGAGUGGAUGACCACAUAUACCCCUCGAAGCUCCCCCCACGGGGAGGAUUUCCUCUCGCCACUCUCACAGUGCUGCCUCUGAGUGGAGCGCAUACAGUGGCAGCUCAUUUUUGGCUCCAUAUACCAAAUGACCCACCUGUGAGGCCUUUUCCUCCUGUGUUGGCUGGUCAUAAAGGACCUUUCCCUGGGACCACAGAUACGAGGGCUGAGGGAGACACACUGGCACAACAGUGACGGACGACAGCGAUUCUUUGAAUUGCUUGUUUCAUUUGAUAUAAGAAUGAAAGCUCAAGGGUUCCUAUUUCUUAAGAGCCCUAAAUGUGCACGUGGACUUCUUACUGAAACAGUGUUAGUUACCUGGAAUAUAGGCUGUAUUUAUGUAAUGUUUAGAAUGACAUGUUAAUAAAGUAAUCUGUUAAAAUGGGGAAAAACAGCAGUUCUCAAUUUUUGUUUGCUCUUAGGACACUUUUACACUCUUAAAAAUUUUGAAGAUAUCUCAAGAACUUUUGUUUAUGUAUUCAUUGAUUGACUGAUUGUAAUCUCUACACCCAACAAACUCACAACCCUGAGAUCAAGAGUCACAUGCUCUUCCGACUGAGCCAGCCAGGCGCCUCAUGGGUUAUAUUUAUUGAUAUUUACCACAUUAGGUAUUAAAAGUGAGAACAUUAAAAUAAUAUUUAUUUAUUUUAAAAAACAAAUAAGCCUAUUAUAUGUUAACACAAAUAACUAUAUUUUCCACACACAAAAAAAUUAGUGAGAAGAAUGGUAUUGUUUUAUAUUUUUCAGAUCUUUUUAAUGUUUGGCUUAACAGAACACACGUGAAUUCACCUGUCUGCUUCUGCAUUCCAUCUCUUGCUAGAUGUUGUUUGGUGUGAAGAAUGUAAAGAAAGUUUAAUCUCAUGCAGAUAUUUAGUUGUAAAGUCACUGUUAAAGGUUACAGAGACCCCUGGGGUUCUCUGGCCACUUAUUUGAGAACCAAUUGUAUACGGCAGAAAAAGCUAUCAAAGAUCUAUCUCACAUGUAUAUAGCAAGCUUGAGGAUCACAUGAUUUCCCAGGGGAAUUCUUGGAAUCCUUCAAGACCAGAUAAUCCUAAGGUUAGAAAAAGAAAGAAAAUUCCCUCUUUUUAUGAAGUAAGUAUAACAUUGAUACCUAAAUGCAAUAAACACAAAAAAACCCCAGAGGUACCUGGUUGACUCGGCCAGUAGAGUAGGUGAUUCUUGAUCUUAGAAUUCAAGCCUCAUGUUGGGGGUAGAAAUUACUUAAACAAAACAACAACAAAAAAAAAAAAAAGAAAGAAAGAAAGAAAGAAAGAAAGAAA